Oncorhynchus tshawytscha (Chinook salmon) is the source of this 1000-nucleotide long non-coding RNA. Lineage: Eukaryota; Metazoa; Chordata; Actinopteri; Salmoniformes; Salmonidae. The record is from Ensembl.
GUCGGUGGAUAAGGGAUAUAAAGGGACAGUGCAGCAAACCUAACCAACUGAUCUAAUUGAUCAGUUCAUUGAUUGCUGGAAAUCCAAAAACAUGAUGUGACUGUGGCACUCCAGGACCAGGAAUUCAUACUUCUGGGCUAAGGUGUAGGCUGGGUUGAGAUCCAGGGGUUGAGUGGUGAUGAUGGCUGGGUGGAGGCCAAUGGAUAUGUGAAGGUUGGAGGGAAGGAGGGAUCAAUACCAGGGGUGAUGGAGGGGUGGUUGCUGGGGUUGUUGGGUUUGGUGGAGGCUGUGGUAAGACUGUGGGGGAGUAGGGGUGGAUACUAAGGGUGUUUGGUGGAGUGGAGGAUGGGGAAGGCUUGAUGCAGUAAGGGUAUAUUCUGAGUUCAGCUACAUUCUACAGUAGGUUACUCUCCCAUAUGGCUAAGUUGAUUGUUCAGCUACAGUAGGUUACUCUCCCAUAUGGCUGAGUUGACUGUUCAGCUACUGUAGGUUAUUCCCCAAUAUGGCUGAGUUGACUGUUCAGCUACUGGAGGUUACUCUCCCAUGCUAGUGUAGGUUACUCUCCCAUCCUACUGUAGGUUACUCUCCUAUGCUACUGUAGGUGACUCCCCAUGCUACUGUAGGUUAAUCUCCCAUGAUACUGUAGGUUACUCUCCCAUGCUACUGUAGGUUACUCUCCCAUAUGGCUGAGUUGACUGUUCAGCUACUGUAUGUUACUCUCCAAUGCUACUGUAGGUUACUCUUCCAUCCUACUGUAGGUUACUCUCCCCCUUCUACUGUAGGUAACUCGCCCAUGCUACUGUAGGUUACUAUCUCAUGUUACUGUAGGUUACUCUCCCAUGUUACUGUAGGUUACUCUCCCAUGUUACUGUAGGUUACUCUCCCAUGCUACUGUAGGUUACUCUCCCAUGCUACUGUAGGUUACUCUCCCAUAUUACUGUAGGUUACUCUCCCAUGCUACUGUAGGUUACUCUCCCAUGCUACUGUAGGUUACUCUCCC